RNAcentral lists this ribosomal RNA (1018 nucleotides) under Pyricularia oryzae. RNAcentral's name for it is "bacterial SSU rRNA". It matches the Rfam family "Bacterial small subunit ribosomal RNA", at positions 23 to 1043 of the family's 1533-position model. Lineage: Eukaryota; Fungi; Ascomycota; Sordariomycetes; Magnaporthales; Pyriculariaceae. The record is from RNAcentral.
CUCAGGAUGAACGCUCGCUGUGUGCCUAAUACAUGCAUGUUGAACGGGAUGUAGCAAUACAUUCAGUAGCGAAUGGGUGAGUAACACGUACCUAACCUACCUUUAAGACUGGGAUAACUAUUGGAAACAAUAGCUAAUACCGGAUAUAGUUAUUUAUCGCAUGAUGAGUAAUAGAAAGGAGCUUCACAGCUUCACUUAAAAAUGGGGGUGCGGAACAUUAGUUAGUUGGUAGGGUAAUGGCCUACCAAGACGAUGAUGUUUAGCCGGGCCGAGAGGCUGUACGGCCACACUGGGACUGAGAUACGGCCCAGACUCCUACGGGAGGCAGCAGUAAGGAAUUUUCCACAAUGAGCGAAAGCUUGAUGGAGCGACACAGCGUGCAGGAUGAAGUUCUUCGGAAUGUAAACUGCUGUUAUAAGGGAAGAAAAAAUAGAAUAGGAAAUGAUUUUAUCUUGACGGUACCUUAUUAGAAAGCGACGGCAAACUAUGUGCCAGCAGCUGCGGUAAUACAUAGGUCGCAAGCGUUAUCCGGAAUUAUUGGGCGUAAAGCGUCCGUAGGUUUUUUGCUAAGUCUGGAGUUAAAUGCUGAAGCUCAACUUCAGUCCGCUUUGGAUACUGGCAAAAUAGAAUUAUAAAGAGGUUAGCGGAAUUCCUAGUGAAGCGGUGGAAUGCGUAGAUAUUAGGAAGAACACCAAUAGGCGAAGGCAGCUUACUGGAUAUAUACUGACGUUGAGGCACGAAAGCGUGGGGAGCAAACAGGAUUAGAUACCCUGGUAGUCCACGCCGUAAACGAUGAUCAUUAGUUGGUGGAAUAAUUUCACUAACGCAGCUAACGCGUUAAAUGAUCCGCCUGAGUAGUAUGCUCGCAAGAGUGAAACUUAAAGGAAUUGACGGGAACCCGCACAAGCGGUGGAGCAUGUGGUUUAAUUUGAUGGCUACGCGUAGAACCUUACCCACUCUUGACAUCUUCUGCAAAGCUAUAGAGAUAUAGUGGAGGUUAACAGAAUGACAGAUGGUG